AUCAAUUGUCCAAUUUCCAUAAACAUAGUAGGAGUCUAUAUCUGAAUUCAUUGCAGCCGCCGUUGUCAUAUUGGGCUUAUUUCCAUCACCACCACAGAACCAGUAUAAAUUUUCAGUAAAAGUAUCUGCUGACCAAGUUGUUCCGCUCAUGUCUGUGAAAUGAACUUCCUUUCCGCUGUCACAAAUCUCCAAAACUGUAUCGUUUGCACAAUUCGCAACGUAGC
This is a non-coding RNA of Schizosaccharomyces pombe (fission yeast), 224 nucleotides long. The record is from the annotation of a GenBank genome assembly. NCBI's taxonomy places the organism in Eukaryota, Fungi, Ascomycota, Schizosaccharomycetes, Schizosaccharomycetales, Schizosaccharomycetaceae.